This 484-nucleotide ribosomal RNA is filed under the name well water enrichment culture. RNAcentral's name for it is "bacterial SSU rRNA". It matches the Rfam family "Bacterial small subunit ribosomal RNA", at positions 30 to 507 of the family's 1533-position model. The record is from RNAcentral.
AUUGAACGCUGGCGGCAGGCCUAACACAUGCAAGUCGAGCGGUAGAGAGAAGCUUGCUUCUCUUGAGAGCGGCGGACGGGUGAGUAAUGCCUAGGAAUCUGCCUGGUAGUGGGGGAUAACGUUCGGAAACGGACGCUAAUACCGCAUACGUCCUACGGGAGAAAGCAGGGGACCUUCGGGCCUUGCGCUAUCAGAUGAGCCUAGGUCGGAUUAGCUAGUUGGUGAGGUAAUGGCUCACCAAGGCUACGAUCCGUAACUGGUCUGAGAGGAUGAUCAGUCACACUGGAACUGAGACACGGUCCAGACUCCUACGGGAGGCAGCAGUGGGGAAUAUUGGACAAUGGGCGAAAGCCUGAUCCAGCCAUGCCGCGUGUGUGAAGAAGGUCUUCGGAUUGUAAAGCACUUUAAGUUGGGAGGAAGGGCAGUUACCUAAUACGUAAUUGUUUUGACGUUACCGACAGAAUAAGCACCGGCUAACUCUGUG